RNAcentral lists this transfer RNA (73 nucleotides) under Aedes aegypti (yellow fever mosquito). It matches the Rfam family "tRNA". Rfam says of the family: Transfer RNA (tRNA) molecules are approximately 80 nucleotides in length. Lineage: Eukaryota; Metazoa; Arthropoda; Insecta; Diptera; Culicidae. The record is from Rfam by way of RNAcentral.
CGUCUCGUGGCAUAGUUGGUAACGUGCCUGUCUAACGAAUAGGAAAUCGUGAGUUCGAUUGUCACUGAAAAGA